AGCCACCAGCGAGAUUCGAACUCGCGACCCCUGGUUUACGAGACCAGUGCUCUAGUCUCUGAGCUAUAGUGGC
RNAcentral lists this transfer RNA (73 nucleotides) under Araneus ventricosus. Its description in RNAcentral is "tRNA-Thr". Lineage: Eukaryota; Metazoa; Arthropoda; Arachnida; Araneae; Araneidae. The record is from RNAcentral.